AAGCCCGGCACCCGUUCUGGGUGUCUGCCAGAUUUGCACUCUGG
This 44-nucleotide transfer RNA is filed under the name Pseudogekko compresicorpus (Philippine false gecko). RNAcentral describes it as "partial tRNA-Cys". Lineage: Eukaryota; Metazoa; Chordata; Lepidosauria; Squamata; Gekkonidae. The record is from RNAcentral.